GCGCCUGUAGCUCAGUGGAUUAGAGCACCAGUCUUCGGAACUGGGUGUCGGGGGUUCGAAUCCCUCCAGGCGCG
This 74-nucleotide transfer RNA is filed under the name Chthonomonas calidirosea. Its description in RNAcentral is "tRNA-Arg". It matches the Rfam family "tRNA". From Rfam's summary of the family: Transfer RNA (tRNA) molecules are approximately 80 nucleotides in length. Their secondary structure includes four short double-helical elements and three loops (D, anti-codon, and T loops). The record is from RNAcentral. Lineage: Bacteria; Bacillati; Armatimonadota; Chthonomonadia; Chthonomonadales; Chthonomonadaceae. RNAcentral also lists the same sequence under 4 other names.